UUUCAACAUUACAGGAAGCUGUAAGGAGCCUCCAUAAUUCAGAAAACAACCCUCAUAAAUACGAUCCACAAACUGGAAUAAGUUUACUUUAUGAUCAGGCAGUUAUGACAUAUCUGCUGGAGGAAUUAAGGAUGACUUUUGCAGAUGCAGACCCUGAGUGUAUAAAGGAGGAAAUACUCUUUUUCUCAGCCAGAAAAGUCUUCAUUAAGACUAAAAACCGACAAAGAUGA
This is a long non-coding RNA of Clarias gariepinus (North African catfish), 230 nucleotides long. RefSeq lists it as uncharacterized. The transcript has 3 exons. The record is from RefSeq and is a predicted model, not a curated record. NCBI's taxonomy places the organism in Eukaryota, Metazoa, Chordata, Actinopteri, Siluriformes, Clariidae.